RNAcentral lists this long non-coding RNA (8366 nucleotides) under Salmo salar (Atlantic salmon). RNAcentral's name for it is "lncRNA (ENSSSAG00000095508.1)". The record is from RNAcentral. Lineage: Eukaryota; Metazoa; Chordata; Actinopteri; Salmoniformes; Salmonidae.
AACAUACAUAAACAUUUACAUAAAGUGGAGUGACUUAUACCCUUUAGCCUUGGCCACCCUUAUCUUUUUGCCUUGCACUCAUUUUAGCUUAGUUUCCAUUCUCUUAUUGGCGUAGAUUCUAUUGGUGGCGUGCACUCCUAAUGCAGAAAUGGUUUAAUUCUGAAAUACUACAAGGCAGUAGGCGACACUGAUGAGACAAGGAGAAUGCAGACCUAUACCUGGACCCAAAGUGGACUGGAUCGAUCCGUCGCUGGACAAUCAUCAAGUCCCCAAGUUACCAGUGGUCAGAUGAGUGAGAUUCCUUGCAGCUAUUCUCGUCAAUAUGGGCCAGUCAGACCAGCUGUCCUGUAUAUAGAAGGUGGUCGAUGCCUACCACACAGCGGACAAGUAACCAGUGGAGGUUACUGGAGUGGACCGAACCUGAAUCAACAGGCUUCAAUGGUGUACAUAAACUCAUCUCAGCAUUCACCCACCAAAGAGCAAGUUCUAACGGGUACUAGUCCCCUUUUGACAUCACUCUGGACUAACAAUGCAGCGGCUGCUCAAUCAACUGGUGUUACAUCACAAAGUGGAAACCGUCACACCUUGCCCGGAAGGGUUAACAGUGCAGCUCAGCCCACUUUUCAGCAGGGACAGAGGUUUUUGGGUGUUAAAAAAAACAAUCCACAGAGGCUCGUAAAGGAUGGUCAGGGUCCAACCAUUCACUGCCCCCCUCAUAUUAAUGCACCACUGAAUACAAAUGUUAUGUAUCAUCUAAGCCCAGUGAGUGGCAGUCAGCAGCUUGUACUUGGCAGACAAGAGGGGGCCUCCAGUGGUACCUCUGCUUCUCUUGCAAUGGGUAGGAGCCCCAACCAUGUAAAUCAUAAAUUGACUGUAGUGAGUGGGCAGGAUUCAAGAAGGAUAGCAGUUCAAGCUCCUCAUCAGGGAAACCCACAAACACCAAACUCUUUGCAAAGUGGACAGGAGACAACAUAUAACCAACUGUUGUAUUUACUUCAAAAUCAGAACAAUGACAGCAGGGCUGAGAUGAACAGGGUGCACCAACAUGGAGCACCUGUCCACACUGGCUCAUCAAACCACAGUCAAAUGUAUCCCUCUCAACUUCUCACUGGCAGCAACAACCAGGUCAAUGUAUCAAAUGCUACAGUGGGGCAGUCAAUGCCAAUGCAUAACAUUAGCCAGAAUCCUCAGUACAAUGUUAUGUAUAACCCUCCUUUUAAUAAUUCUCCAAGACAUGUCCCCAUCUGCCCUAAAAGCUUUCCCAUCCCACCACAACAGAACAGACUCCCAUCUUAUUGUGCAAAUAAUAACAGUCAGGCAGGGCCCAUUGGAAAUAAUGCACACUAUGCCUCUCAUCCUAGGCUCCAUAUCCAAGGCACAUGCCCUACCCUACAUUACAAGCCAGACUGCACCAAUGUUCUGGUAGGCAACGCUGGACCAUCUUCAUCUGUGCCAAACUAUAGUAUACAGCCCUCAGUCCAGCACAACCGUGAGACCGCGCCUCCACCAUACCCAGUCCAGCACAAGCGUAAGUCCGCGCCUCCACCAUACCCAGGCCAGCACUCCCAUGGACCCGUGCUGAACAAGACGGAACAUGUGGUUGGGGCAGGAGCGCAUUUUCUGCAACACGUGCCUAACCAAGGUGCAGCCCCUACCCUACAUUACAAGCCAAAAAACACCUAUGUUCAGUUAUCCAACACUGGACCAUCUUCAUCUGUGCCAAACCAUGGUAUGCUGUCUUCAGGCCAGCAAAACUGUGAGUCUGUGACUCCGUCACACCCCAUAAGACAGGGCUAUUACAUAACAGUAACAGAGGACAAAAGUGGAAAUGGAUUUAGAACAGAAAAUUUUAUUUUCAUAGGAGAUAAACCUAAUGAAAGUGCUCUGGUCCUGCAAGGAUCAUCUGCAAGUAAUGCCCCCUCUGUUCUUACGACACAGAAGGCCGUUGCAGUUGUACAACCACUAUCGCAGUGUAUGCAGACAAACACACCUCUAAAUGUGGCUGAUAAAAUCUCCUUGACUACCCAAGGUAUGUCUUUCUUAACAGGUGUCAAAAAUGUGAGCAACCCUGGGGAAGAAUCUUGUGACCAAAGUCCAUCACAAGCCCAAACAACCCUUAUUCUAUCUGCUUCUUUGACAAAUGAAUCUGAACAAGAGGUCCCCAAGAUCAGACUAGAAUCAGGGGCUGAUAAAACAUUGACCAAGGGUUCAGAAACUUCUGAUGUUGAAAUGGCCAAGAUAUAUUCAUGUUUUAAGCCUCAACGGUCAUUAUCAAACGGGUUAUGUGCAGAGAAAUUUGAUUCUCAACCAUUACCUAAUGUGGAAUGUCAAGCCACUCAGAGAAAAGAGUUAGCUGACACAGAAAUGACCACUCAUGUGCAUGUUAACCAAUUGAGUGAGGAAACGAAUGAAAAAGUCGAUUCCGAUGAGGACAUUUUUGAAUUGUCCUCCAUUCCUGUAAUCAAAUGGACCCUUGGUAAAUUGAAGGAGUUGGUAGAUACUGUGCAAAGUCAAAAAUGCACUGCCACACCAGUUGAAAGCAAAAUACUAAGCCUCUAUUGGGACGGAGAUGGGCCAAAGCUUAUGGAUGCUGCAAGAUCUGGUAUGUUACAAAAUAUAAUGGAAGAGGUUAGAUCUGUGUGUGGCGACGAUGACGAUAUGUCAUCACAGUCUGUCAUAUUUUCACAAGCCAGGCGCAAAAACUGGGGUCAAGUUGAAGAGAAAUGUGCCAUUCUUAAACAUGAUUCUGUUCACCCCGAGUUCCCAGCGCAAGAGUCAUCGUGGUUGAACACAAAUAAGCAGCUUGAUGACAUAGACAAGGAGUUUGGAUUCCCAUGGUCACUAAGAUAUGACCAAAAGACUCUUCAUAGAGGAGAUGAACAAACAAAACUGAUUUGUACCGAAAAUGAAAAAUCUGCGGACUCUGCCAAUGACAUGCAGACUGAGGUGGCUCAGACGAAGAGACCAACACCCUCUGAUUCUGAUGCUAAAGAAAUUCAAGGGUCAGGUUUGGUACACGGUUCCACCCAGACCCUCUCACUGGUUAAGAGAGAGGCAGGUAUCAUUUUUAGUGACCCAUUUUCCUCCCUGGAGAUCAACGUGCUGACACCAGAAGAAGCUUUGAUGUUUUUCAGUGGGCAGCUACCACAAGAUAAAGUGAAUGAAGAAGACCUGUUGGAAUUGCCAAUGGAAAUGGACGCGGAGCUGAUUGAGUUGAAAGAUUACUCAGUGGAGGAUAAGUCAUCUGAGAGGGUAGAUGUGAAGUUGACUGAUUUAAAACUCGAAAACAAAGGGGAUGCCCAAUCAGAAGAUUACUGUUGCCUCUCUCGUUGGAUGGCAGUGUUCAGUGGGUCCACCAAUUCUUCGUCCUGCAAAUGCCAAUACGAGACUAAAUUGGGUUCAGCAAAGGCCACUGUGAAUGCGACGCCGUUGGUUGAGGUAACAUUGUCUGUUGAACCCAACACAACAAAAGCAGAACAAAGGGAAUGCCUGCAAUUGUCUAAAUCAAAUGGCACAGCAGAAGAAAAGAGGGAAGAGAAUCCUGUAAAAAAUUUGAAUCCUCAAUCUUGGAAAUCUACAGGCAUUCAAGAAUGCCAAACAAUUGUUUUGUCUGAUAGCAAAUCUGAGACUGCUCGCAUAUACACAAAUUGGGUGAAGAGCUUGCCUUUGUCAAAAGCCCCAGCACUGCAACUCCCCAUCAACCACACAAACAUUGUUGAAAUUGAAGAGGUCUUCUCCCGUUAUGAAGACUUUAUUAAAGUAGACACCCCAAUAUCGGAGAUAGUUUGGGACGAUGUACAGCCAAAGCAGAAACUACCAGGUCUGUUCCAGAAACGUAUAGAAUGUGUACAAGAACUUGGUGUCAUUUUGGAAGAAGGAAACCCUAGAGGUAGUGAAGUCGUUCCUACAGUUCCCAUUCCUACUUCUAAUCUGCAACCCCAACCAACAGACAAAAUCGGUUUCCUUACAUCACUUUCCUUGGCACAAAGAUGUCACAAACAUCUCUCUCCUAAAACAAAUUGUAGCUACAAGGUUAAACAAAAAGGGGUUGGACUCAAGAGAAGAUGUGUUGAAAGUCCGCAUUCAAAUUUGCCUGUCCCAAGAAAGCAAAGGAAAAUGAGGGAUGGAUUAGGUCCCUCCUUUCAACUCGUUCCUGAGGUCAACUUGACUGAUGAUGAUGUUUUUGAGCCCCCCAAUACAACUACUUCUAAAUCUUUGGAAGAAGAGAAACAUUCAAAAGGUAGCAAUCUCCAGAAGCCAACAGAACAUGGAAUUGGGAACAACAUUUGGAGGGUUGGCACAGUAAGUCUAGCCUUGUUUGGUUCCGCGCUCCAGAGGAAAAAUGGGGCUUUAACAACUGACCAACGCAAGGACCAUAAUACUUCUCGAGCAAGACCUUUUGCAGACAAUGCUCCAGCACCUCCUAUAACCCUCAGUGUGAAUGUCAACUCCUGGACCAGUCCUCCAGCGGAAAGCCCAAUCAAACAAUGGAUCUUAAACGAGUGGAAUAAUAGUUUUAUCCCGACAAAGACAAAGUCCAGGGGCAAAGUGUCAAAACUACAAAACAGAAGAGGCUUUGCUCCAAAGAUUAUUUGUGCUGAAAUGGCCAAAAAGACUGUUGCCCUCACCAACACAGAUAGAGGUGCAUUAUCCUCUGAAAGGCGAGCCAAACCAGAAAGAACUGUAAAGGCCAAGCAGACUUUGCGGCGUGUUGAAAGAGAAAGAAUCUUAAACGGCCUGAAACUCGGACCAAAGAAAUCUAGGAUUGAGGCAGUGCCAUCCAGUAUCCCUGAUCUAGUGGAACAAAGUAAAUAUGAGAUCGGAAACCCAGCUCCUUUGCCUCAUGAGCAGAACAGUCUUAUGUUUAGUGUGCUGCCGGAGUCGUUCAACUUCAAAGACGUCAUGGACCCUCCGACACAGACAGGUUCAAUGAAUGACAUGGCUGGUCCGGUUGCUGCGAAGGCUGAGAGUCCUCAGACGAUAGUCCAAAAAUCCCAAGGUGUAUGGUCUGUUGGCAUUCAGAAGAGAUAUUGUCCUCUCACCUCUUUGACCACUAAAGUUCCCAAGUCUUCCUCCACCACCUUCCAGAAGUUUCAGAAGAAAUUCAAGCAGAAGAAGUAGGCCUGGCAGCUAACCCACGACAAAUUGUAUUGUCUCCAGUUAUGGACUGGGGGAGUGGAGUGAGGACUGUCGCAUGACAAUCUGAUUCUUGUAACUUGUUUCCCAUGGAAAUAUAUGUACAAUUUUUGUUUUUAAUGACAAAUAUUCAUAACCAAUGUAUAUUCUUUGGGAAUGCAGAAAUUGACCUCAUUGUGGCAAGGUUGGGCAGCUCAUAAUACAGUUAUUAUUUACUGUAGUUAUUGUUUACAUUCUUAAGUGACUGAGAAUUUAUCUGACAGUGUCCUCUCUACCUCAGGCCUGACAGGUGUUGGUUCCACUUUUCUUGGCUCCAUUAUUUACUUAACAAAUAAGGAACACUCAAUGUGCACUUAUAAAUUAGAACAAUUUUCAUCAAAAUACAGCUGUAGACCGAAGUCAAAGAUCAAACAUCACACAUACAACUGAUGUCUCUCCUGUGUUCUGCUAAAUAGGAAAAGUCCAAGUUGCUUUUAAUAUGCUUGCAGUCAACCCCUAGUGAUGUAAAUGCCUACGUCAUUACCCUCUACUCAUGAGACCAAGCCCAUGCAUACACAGCUUUACACAUAAUGUUGAGUUCCAGUGUUUUCUAAAGGCUCAGCAGUACAUGUCCACUCCCCAAGUUGAUUUAUGGUGGUAUGUCUGACUAGUCUCUUAUCUCUUUCACUCCCCUGCAGGGUUCUGUGUCUAUGAAUCUCUUUUAUCUUUGAGGCGCUUUCUCAGACACCCUGUUUUGACUGCAAUAACUCACACAGCUCUCAGACCGUUUCUUAUAAGAAGCAGACUAUAAAAUAACUGUGGAACAAUAUUACACCUUAUAAUGCAUAUAUAUAUUGUUCAUUUGUAGUCUAGGACCCUAUAAAUGUAAGGGGGGACAGGUCUUAUAACCCUUCCCCUUCUAUUAAUACAACAUAAGCAUAACCAAUUAUUAUAAUACAUCAAACAUUUGGUGCAGCCCCUAUCAUGACCCCAUCACAGGCAACAUUGCGAAACUUCAUCUAAUUUAAAAAACCCUAAAGUUUUUUGUGUGUCAUUGGAUUGCUGUAUUUUAAUGUUUAUUUUCUUGUCAGUGUUGUCUGACAUUUUUGGGGGGUAAACAGUAUUUUAUGCAAACCUCAUGUUUACUGUAUCACAGAAUGUGAACUAUGCCAAAUUCACUGCGGUUUGUAUGAAUUUGUAAGUUAUCAUUCUGCCCACCUCUCUACCGUUCCCUUUUACAAUCUUAUAACAAGUGGGUACCUUACCAAUAGAUAUUUUUCUGGAGUUUAAACCGAUUCCGUUUGUUUACACGGGAUGAACAGUAUUGUAUGAUUUAGAGAUACUAAGCCAGCUGAAACAAGGUUCCAUUGCAGUAUUCUGGAUGCAUAUACCAGGAAACCUGUAUGUUUGUAGUAACCACUGACCUGGUGCAUUUACAUUAUAUUUUCAUAUGUUUGUUCGACCUAGUGUUAUUUCUUUAUGUUGGUGUAUGUUAUUUGUUUCUAAAUAUUUUUGUACACUUAAAAAUAUAUUGUCAGCAGCAUCCUUCACUUGGCUCUUGUUGAUUUUAUAGGGGACUAAAGUAAGACAGGCAGGGUACAUUCUUACCAGACGUGUCUGGUUAGGUGUGAAUGCUAACCCUUUUUAUGGUUAAAAGAAGGCUAUAUAGACCAUAUAAAGUGUAGUAUUGGGAUGCAAACUCAAAAUGUAAUACAUUUCUAAUCUGAAAUUCUAAAUAUCUGACAUGGUACAGGUGUAUUUUUUUAUUUUUUUUAAAGCCCAUAACCAUGUGUGUGAGGUUUGUACUUUUGUUUCAAAGUUAAUCAUCUUUAAACACCAGUCUCAACGUCAACAGUGAAGAGGCGACUCCAGGAUACUGGCCUAGGCAGAGUUGCAAAGAAAAAGCCAUAUCUCAGACUGGCCAAUAAAAAUAAAAGAUUCAGAUGGGCAAAAGAACAGACACUGGACAGAGGAACUCUGCCUAGAAGGCCAGCAUCCCGGAGUCGCCUCUUCACUGUUGACGUUGAGACUGGUGUUUUGCGGGUACUAUUUAAUGAAGCUGCCAGUUGAUGACUUGAGACGUCUGUUUCUCAAACUAGACACUCUAAUGUACUUGUCCUCUUACUCAGUUGUGCACCGGGGCCUCCACUCCUCUUUCCAUUCUGGUUAGAGCCAGUUUGCGCUGUUCUGUGAAGGGAGUAUUACACAGCGUUGUACGAGAUUUUCAGUUUCUUGGCAAUUUCUCGCAUGGACUGGUGCUGAUCUCAAAGAUAUUGAACACAUGGAAAGAUUUUUUUUUUUUUUUUACUAAGACACAUGAAAUGUACUGUAUCCAAAGUAACCAUGUGAUUUAAUAUUGCAUGUAUACUAUGUCAGAGGAGUUGGAAGAUAAUGGUGGCGGAAAGACUAAGAGGAGUAAUUGCAUUAACAUAGGGGAUGUACCCAUAUGCUGUAUGUGCAUAAAAGAAGAGCCGAUGCUCAGGGAAGUUGUUCCAUGGACCAGCUCGGCUUUGCUACUCUGUAUUAAAGUCUGUAUUAAAUUCACAAGUUCUUGCAAGAGUAUUAUAUUCUUAAGACAAUUUUCCACAACAAUGCUCACACGACACCCGAACAUUCCUUUGUUUAUGCUCCAACUGUACCAUGGUAAUGAAUUUGUCCGGAGUCGGGAAUAGACAGACUGGCUGAGAAACGCUGCCUGUCUAAAUCAUCAAUCGGCUGCUUUAAUUUUUAUGGAUAUAUACAAAGAAAUGUCGAAAAAAGGUGAAACGAAGUACCAAGGUAAAAACAGUUAAGUUGGAUAUUCAACGGAUAUUCGUGCUUUCAAACCUCAAUAGCUUUCGAGCCACAGACUCCAAAUAAGUGUCAAGAUGUUGGAAAAAUUGCACAGGUCUUAUUUUCACGAUUUGGUCAUUAAUUUGCUUUCCAAAGCUAAUAAACGUGGAAAUGUGAGCAGCAUUUUGUAUUACUAGUUGAAUUAGUAAUGGAGUGUAAACAAAGUACAAACUUUUUACAUUUGAAUUUCAAUUGCUCAUGUGACCUACAUGACACAAGGUUCAGAAUGUCCACUGACUACCCUUCUAUAUUGCACAACCUUUGAUUUGUUCAUUUUCAUCUCACAGGUUUUUACAUUCAUUUUUCAAAAUUUCUCAUUUCAAUAGCUCCUUGGUCAUGUGACCUACUGGCUUCAAAUAAGGUUCAGAAUGUCCAGUCAGUGGGCCUACACAUUUCAUACCCUUUAGUUUGUCCGUUUU